Molecule: long non-coding RNA, 6652 nt
Filed under: Theobroma cacao (cacao)
Lineage: Eukaryota; Viridiplantae; Streptophyta; Magnoliopsida; Malvales; Malvaceae
Description: long non-coding RNA (TCAC_LNC000701)
Source: RNAcentral
GCUUCCUCCACGAUAUCAGUUCUUGCUUAAUCUCAACGGUCCCAGAAAAAUUCUAUGACAAAGUUGAAGAAGGAAAAAUCAAACUGAAAAAGGCUCCCAGCUUUAGUUUCUGUCACAAUGGCGUUCUGGUGGAAGGUGAGACUACACCUGUUGAGGCAGACGUGGUCAUCAUGGCCACUGGAUUCAAGGGGGAGAAAAAGCUCAGAGACAUUUUCGUGUCCCAAACCUUUCAGGACUACAUAGCUGGAUCACCUGAUGCUGCAAUUCCACUCUACAGGUUACUUUUUUUUCUUUGGGCAGUCAAGGAACGAUUGUUCUGUAAUUACUUAGAUCAAUUCUAAUUAAAUUUCUUGUUUGAUCACUGAUCAGGGAGUGCAUUCAACCUCAUAUACCCCAACUAGCUGUGAUCGGAUUCUCUGAGAGUGUGUCGAAUUUGUACACCUCAGAGAUAAGAUGCCGAUGGCUAGCAGAACUUCUUGAUGGCACAUUCAAGCUGCCUAGCAUCAAAGAGAUGGAAAAAGAUGUGACAAAAUGGGAUGAAUACCUGAAACGAUACUCGGGUGAAUACUAUCGUAGGAAAUGCAUUGGUGCUCUUCAUGUUUGGUAUAAUGAUCAACUCUGCAAAGAUAUGGGAUGGAACCCCAGGCGGAAGAAGGGAUUCUUUGCUGAACUUUUUGAGCCUUAUGGUCCCUUGGAUUAUGUCCCCUCUUCAGCUGCCUCUUAGCCAUGGGUUUUCUCAUCUUUCAUCAUCUUGUUUUAUGAAUUUCAUUCCUGCUUGUCCCCCAUUUUCAACAGAAUGAGUUUGUUUUGCUUCAUGAUACUUAAUACGAAGCACGGUGUAAGAAUAAUUGAUUUCUUAUUUUGGGUAAUAAUAAGAAUAAGAAAUAUUAAUACUAUUUUAUUUAAAUUAUAUUUAUUAAAAAGGUUAUAUAUUUUUUAAAUUGAGAAUUUCUUCACUUAUUGUCAAUUGAUUUUAAUUUAGACUUGUUUUACUCUUUUUUCUAGUAAUUUUUUUUCGUUGAUUCAUGUUACGUAAUUAUAAGUUGGUGAUUUUCACAUGUAAUAAAAGUAUUGAAUUUAUCACAAUUUUAUAUUUCUUGAAUUAAGAGUAUUUUUAAUAUAUAAAUAUGAUAAAUCUUGUCAAAUAUUAUUAAUAAAUUUUAAAUAAGAUAUUCGGAAAAAAAUUAAAAAAAGAUAGGGAAUAUUCAAUGAAUAUUUCCCACCAGGGAACCGGUACCUACUAUCGAAGGCCAUAAAUCACAUUGAACCGAUGAGGCCCAAUGAGAAUUUCUCGAACGAGAACCAUGCCUAGGGAGACGUAUGCUUGUUUGCUUGUCUUUACCUCAAUACGCCUUUUUAGCCAUAACAUUUGCAUGGGUUUAUUAUACCUAGUCUAUUUUUGGUUUCCAUCGGUGGAAAAGACUUGAGUUCUAGUUAUAGUAAGUCUAGCAGCUGUCUAUUACUAUGUCAGAAGGAAAGAUGAGCUAAGAAGAAUCAAAUGAAAAGACCAGCUUCUAUUAUGGAGCAGAAUGGUCCAGCCAACCAGGCACAGAAAAUGGGAGACGAGGAUUCACGUGAAGGGUGUUUAUUUAUUUGCUUGAAUCUUUUCUAAUGAUUAAUCAAUCACUCGGUUCAAGUGACAAACCUACCUUACGUAUCAACUAAGUAGUCAUGGUUUCAAGAAUUUCUUUGAUGGGAGAAAACUAGUUGAGUGUACCAAGUUUCAGUGUCCGAACAUGUUGAUCAAAUGGAGAAGCAAAUAGCCAUCAUCGGAGCUGGUAUUAGCGGCCUCCUCGCAUGCAAGUACACCCUCUCAAAGGGUUUCCAUCCGACAGUUUUCGAGUCCCAAAGCAGCAUCGGAGGAGUUCGGACCACAGCACUUGAGAGGACAAAACUUCAGACCUCAAAACAAUUUUAUCAGUUCUCAGAUUUUCCAUGGCAAUCUUCAGUCGCAGAAGAGUUCCCUAGCUAGCAUCAAGUGCUGGAGUAUAUUGAAGCUUAUGCCCAUCAUUUUGACUUGCUUCGGCAUGUCAGAUUCAAUGCCAAAGUCGUUAGCAUUGACUUCGAAGGGCCAACGGAUGAAGAGAUGCGAUCUUGGCAUCUCUGGGGUGGGACUGAUGAGCCCUUCAGCUCCAAAGGAAAGUGGAAUGUUGUAGUACAGGACACCCAGAAUCAUUCUACAGAGGUAUGUAAUUAAGUUUAUAAUCAUAAAGCUCAACAAGAACAAAGUGAACGAGAAGAAAAGAUAAUGUCCUGACUUGGAUGAAUUUUCUUUUAAAUGUGAAAUUCAGGUUUACCAGGUGGACUUUGUAGUCCUUGGCCUAGGCCGGUUCAGCGGCAUUCCAAACAUUCCAUCGUUUCCUCCAGGAAAAGGGCCAGAAACCUUUCACGGUGAGGAAAUACACUCCAUGGAUUAUGCUGCCAUGGAUUACAAACUUGCUGCUAAAUGCAACAAAGGGAAGCGAAUUGUUGUCGUUGGACUCCAGAAAUCUGCCUUGGACAUCGCAAUGGAAUGUUCUACAGCAAAUGGUAAGAUUACAAAAUUUCUUUAGUUCUAAGAUGUAUGCAAAACUCACAGGCUGGAUUUUCUGACAUGAAGUUUCAAUCUAUCCUGUUUCCAGGCGUAGAACUUCCUUGUACAGUAUUAUACAAGACCGAACGUUGGGGCGUCCCCAAUUACCUUCCAUGGGGAAUGCCGCUAGCUUAUUUAUACCUCAAUCGCUUCUCAGAGCUUUUGGUUCAUAAGCCUGGUGAAGGCUUCCUCCUUAGUUCAUUGGCAACAAUUCUUUCACCUCUGGUAACUAAUAAAAUUUCUUAUCUAAAGCACAUCUUGAGCACCUUCAGGAAAUUAACUGCAGCAGACUGAAAUCGGUUCUAUUAACUGCAGCGAACUGAAAUCGGUUCUUUGCUAUUAAACAGAGAUGGGUAUUCUCAAAAUUCGUCGAGAGUUAUAUCAAAUGGAAACCUGCCUUUGGCAAAGUUUGCGAUGGUACCAAAGCACAGCUUUCAUAAAGAAAUUAGCUCCUGUUUGACCUCAACAGUGCCAAAAAACUUCUAUGACAGAGUUGAGGAAGGAAGCAUCUUACCGAAGAAGACCCAAAAUAUAAGCUUCAUGAAGAAGGAUAAUGGUAGAUGACGAAGAUUCACCUCUAAAGACAGAUUUGGUGAUACUGGCUACUGGAUUCAGGAGAGAUAAAAAGCUUAGAGACAUUUUUGCGUCCCCCACUUUUCGAGACUGCAUGGCUGGCUCACCUGAAGCAAGAGUUCCAAUCUACGGGUUGAGAAUCUUAACCAGCUACAUGUUCAAACCAUAGUUUCAUCAAAUUAAACCAGUAACCAGAAAAAGAAUAAAGACUAUGAGAACUAACUCAUAUCUCUUCAAACAAGAUGGAUUUCUAGGAGCAAUGAAGCUUGAUGAUAGGAAAAUGGCAAGAAAAAGGCUCACGGGGUACUAAGAGAAAUGGAGUAGCCAAGCACUUUUCCCUCAAGGGUGGUGGACAAGACACAGUGAAAAUGAGCUUCCAUCCCCCUUUUUCUUUGUUAUGGGAGAUCUCUUGAGGCAAGAGCCUUGAAAUGGCUUUCAUUUCCCAUUUUUUCAUGCAUGGGCGGAUUGGCCAAUGUCACCGUCCUUUUCUAUUUUUUUUAAUCACAUGUCAUUCUAUGUAAUUUCUUAUUUUGUUAUUAACGUUGCUUUUCAAUGGUGGCACGUGCAUGCAAUGUUUCAUUAUCCAUUCUUUUAUCUUUGAUUAGACUGCCUUGCCUAUGCAUUGGUCCACAUGAUAUUUUUUUUGUUUAUUUCAUUUUCAUUUCAUUUUACAUGCAUUUCAUUUUCAUUUCCUUUUAAUGUCACUUUAUCAUCAAAUAAUAUUUCAUACAUAUUUCCUUUGCUAAUAGCCUUUGCCACCCCAUGCACCAAUAAAAUUUCAUGCAUUUAUUUCUUAUUUGGCCUCCCUCACAACCAAUAGAAUUUCAUGCACUCUUUAAUUUAUUUCUUUUAUUCUUAAUCCUUUUUCUACUAGCAUGUGUACCUACUCAAAUUUCAUGCAUGUCUUUUUUUUAAUAAAAUAUUAUUUAAUUUUUUUCUCUUUGUCAUCUUUUAUAUGAUGGGGGUCUCAUAUGUCCCUCACUAAACUUUAUCUUUACGUACAAUUAUUUAUAUGUAACUGUAACUUCACAUUAUAGGAAUCUUAUAUGUCUUUCAUUAAAAAUUAUCUUUUAGAGGGAAAAAAGUCUGAUGGUUCUAGAACUACUUAAAAGUAUUAUGGUCACCGACAAGAUUAAAAGAAAUUUUUCUUAAUUAACCAUGCAUGUGUGCAUGACUUAUUUUAUUAUAUAUUAAAAUACCCAUUUAAUGAUUCUUAACAGGGGUACUUAACAUUUGCCUUGCUAGUAUCAGUAGCUAGCACUACUGGCACUGCUCCAGAGCAGAGUUAUUUAAUAUUUUAUUAACCAAAAAUCAAAGUUAAAGUUCUGCAUUGAAUAAAGUGAUUAAAGGAAAGUAGAUUCAAUUGACCUUGGAUCUUGCAAAAUAAAAAAAUCGAUUUCUUUUCCAAUGCAAGAUUCACUGAAGGACACAAAAGGAAUUAUGCUAGAAAGAAUUACCACUAAUAAUCUGAGUUAUAUAUUUCAAUGCAUAGAAAGUAAUAAAAUAUAUAUUUAUAUAUAUAUACUAAGUAGUGUGUGUAUAUAUAUAUAUAAUACUAUUUAUAAUGAAAAUGACGGAUGCAGCCCCAGUUAUGCUCCUGUUGGUGACUUUAUCUUCUAUUUUUUAAUGGCAAAAAGGGGUUAAUCAAAAUCAAGAAGAUCAAAGACUUGGAGCACCAGUUUGAGGGGGAUGAUAGUUUAUUUAUUUGAUUCCUGAGGAUCUUAGGCAGAGUGCUAUAUAGAGAGAGAGGCAAAAAGGCAGGCUAUAUCGAUAGAGUAUCAGACAAUUUGGCAAUGGAGAGGCAGGUGGCAAUCGUUGGAGCUGGAAUAAGUGGCCUCCUUGCCUGUAAGUACACCUUGUCGAAAGGUUUCCAUCCAGUUGUUUUCGAGUCCCAAAGGAGCGUUGGAGGGGUAUGGACCCAAACGCUGGAGACUACAAGGCUCCAAACCCCCAAGUCAGUUUAUCAGUUCUCAGAUUUUCCUUGGCCAUCUUCAGUCACAGAUGAUUUCCCUACCCAACACGAUGUCUUCGAUUAUGUUAAGGCGUAUGCACAACAUUUUGACUUGCUUAAGCACAUCAAAUUCAACACCAAAGUUGCUGGUAUUGAGUACGAAGGCCCCCCUGAUGAAGAGAUGCGAUCUUGGAGUUUAUGGGGUGGCACUGGUGAGCCCUUUAGCUCCAAAGGGAAAUGGAAGGUCAUCGUGGAAGACUUGGAAAGCCUUUCAACUGAGGUAUUUCUCAUCAUAAUUCAGAGGAUAAAUAGUGAUUUAUAUGACAAAAAAAAAGUUAUCAUAAUUCCGAGACUUGUGAAAUUCAUUGCAGAUUUACCUAGUGGACUUUGUAAUCAUUUGUGUGGGGCGGUUCAGUGGUCUGCCAAACAUUCCAGAAUUCCCCCCAAACAAGGGCCCGGAAGCAUUUCGUGGUAAGGUAAUACAUUCCAUGGACUAUGCUGCCAUGGAUAAUGAAAAGGCUGCUGAGUUCAUCAAAGGCAAACGAGUCAUUGUCGUUGGGUUCCAGAAAUCUGCUUUGGACAUUGCAAUGGAGUGCACUUUUGCAAAUGGUAAUUAGAAUUUAAUCUGAACUGCUGGAAUUCAUAGUUCUUUCUACAUUAGACCAAGUAAAGUUUGCUCUUACCUCUUCGAGAACCGAUAAAUUUUGUGGACUUCAUAUGGAAAGGAACUUGUGAUCAUGUCUCAAUGUGUUUGGUGUCGUUACAAGGAAAUAAAAUUUCUUUAAAUUUCAUUAGUUUUCAGGGGUGGAAAAUCCAUGCACAGUUUUCUACAGGACUGCACACUGGAAUGUCCCUGAUUACCUUCCCUGGGGGAUUCCACUUGGAUAUAUGUAUCUUAACCGAUUCUCAGAGCUUAUGGUUCAUAAGCCUGGUGAAGGGCUUCUACUUGGUCUCUUAGCUACAAUUCUGGCACCGGUGGUAACAUUGCUCUUCAUUCUUUACACCUUGCUAUGUUCUGUUUUACUUUUUAUCAAUGAGCAAUGUGCUUGCUCAGAAGCAAACGACAGUUUAUCUGUGAUUUCUAUAUUUGGAUGGAACCUGCAAAUAUCAGAUGACACCAUCCAUUUAUUUUCUUCACUCCUAUUGUUUCUUCCACUGAUUACUUGUAAUUAUUUGACAGAGAUGGUCAUAUUCAAAAUUUGUUGAAAGUGAUAUCAAAAGGAAGCUACGUUUAGCAAAGCAUGGCAUGGUACCCACACAUAACUUCCUCCAUGAAAUCAGUUCUUGCUUAAUCUCAACGGUCCCAGAAAAAUUCUAUGACAAAGUUGAAGAAGGAAAAAUCAAACUGAAAAAGGCUCCCAGCUUUAGUUUCUGUCACAAUGGCGUUCUGGUGGAAGGUGAGACUACACCUGUUGAGGCAGACGUGGUCAUCUUGGCCACUGGAUUCAAGGGGGAGAAAAAGCUCAGAGACAUUUUCGUGUCCCAAACCUUUCAGGACUACAUAGCUGGAUCACCUGAUGCUGCAAUUCCACUCUACAGGUUAAUUUUUUUUCUUU